GGAAGUAAAAGGUAACAAGGUCUCCGUUGGUGAACCAGCGGAGGGAUCAUUACAGAGUUUUCACAACUCCCAACCCUUGCGAACCGUACCCAUUCUGUUCUCGUUGCUUCCGGCGGGGGGGACGGGGGGGCCCGAAACGGCCUCCCCGCCCCGCCCGCCGGGGGCGGCGGGCCCUACGAACCUUUAUAUCUCAACCACCAGAAACCGUCUGAGAAAACAAACAAAAUAAUCAAAACUUUCAACAACGCAUCUCUUGGCUCUG
This 262-nucleotide unclassified non-coding RNA is filed under the name plant metagenome. RNAcentral's name for it is "partial contains small subunit ribosomal RNA and internal transcribed spacer 1". The stretch from base 1 to 52 matches the Rfam family "Eukaryotic small subunit ribosomal RNA", at positions 1778 to 1831 of the family's 1831-position model. The record is from RNAcentral.